ACUCCUACGGGAGGCAGCAGUGGGGAAUUUUGGACAAUGGGCGAAAGCCUGAUCCAGCAAUGCCGCGUGAGUGAAGAAGGCCUUCGGGUUGUAAAGCUCUUUUGUCAGGGAAGAAACGGUGAAAGCUAAUAUCUUUUGCUAAUGACGGUACCUGAAGAAUAAGCACCGGCUAACUACGUGCCAGCAGCCGCGGUAAUACGUAGGGUGCAAGCGUUAAUCGGAAUUACUGGGCGUAAAGCGUGCGCAGGCGGUUUUGUAAGUCUGAUGUGAAAUCCCCGGGCUCAACCUGGGAAUUGCAUUGGAGACUGCAAGGCUAGAAUCUGGCAGAGGGGGGUAGAAUUCCACGUGUAGCAGUGAAAUGCGUAGAUAUGUGGAGGAACACCGAUGGCGAAGGCAGCCCCCUGGGUCAAGAUUGACGCUCAUGCACGAAAGCGUGGGGAGCAAACAGGAUUAGAAACCCGUGUAGUCCCAU
Molecule: ribosomal RNA, 472 nt
Filed under: uncultured organism
Description: partial 16S ribosomal RNA
Rfam family: Bacterial small subunit ribosomal RNA
Source: RNAcentral